This 1512-nucleotide ribosomal RNA is filed under the name metagenome. RNAcentral describes it as "bacterial LSU rRNA". It matches the Rfam family "Bacterial large subunit ribosomal RNA", at positions 1436 to 2925 of the family's 2925-position model. The record is from RNAcentral.
CUCUCGAUCCGAUCGGGUAGUAGGUAAGCGAUGGGGUGACGCAGGAAGGUAGUCCAGCCCAGGCGAUGGUUGUCCUGGGGUAAGCAUGUAGGGCGGAACGUAGGUAAAUCCGCGUUCUAUUCAGCCUGAGAUGUGAUGCCGAGCCGAUUGUGGUGAAGUGGAUGAUCCUAUGCUGCCGAGAAAAGCCUCUAGUGAGUGUUGUGGCGGCCCGUACCCUAAACCGACUCAGGUGGUCAGGUAGAGAAUACCAAGGCGAUCGGGUGAACUGUGGUUAAGGAACUCGGCAAAUUGCCCCCGUAACUUCGGGAGAAGGGGGACCUCUGCUGGUGAUGGGCUUUACGUUCUGAGCUGGUGGGGGUCGCAGUGGCCAGGGGGAAGCGACUGUUUACUAAAAACACAGGUCCGUGCGAAGUCGUAAGACGAUGUAUACGGACUGACGCCUGCCCGGUGCCGGAACGUUAAGGGGACCGCUUAGCCAACGCGAGUUGGCGAAGGUGAGAACUUAAGCGCCGGUAAACGGCGGUGGUAACUAUAACCAUCCUAAGGUAGCGAAAUUCCUUGUCGGGUAAGUUCCGACCUGCACGAAUGGCGUAACGACUUCCCCGCUGUCUCAACCACAGACCCGGCGAAAUUGCACUACGAGUAAAGAUGCUCGUUUCGCGCAGCAGGACGGAAAGACCCCGGGACCUUCACUACAGCUUGACAUUGGCGUUUGGAACGUCUUGUGUAGGAUAGGUGGGAGACUGGGAAGCUGUCACGCUAGUGAUGGUGGAGUCAUUGGUGAAAUACCACUCUGGUCGUUUUGAACGUCUAACUCUGGUCCGUGAUCCGGAUCGGGGACAGUGUCUGGUGGGUAGUUUAACUGGGGCGGUUGCCUCCUAAAGAGUAACGGAGGCGCCCAAAGGUUCCCUCAGCCUGGUUGGCAAUCAGGUGUUGAGUGUAAGUGCACAAGGGAGCUUGACUGUGAGACUGACAGGUCGAGCAGGAGCGAAAGCUGGGACUAGUGAUCCGGCAUCGGCGUGUGGAAGCGGUGUCGUUCAACGGCUAAAAGGUACCCCGGGGAUAACAGGCUGAUCUUCCCCAAGAGUCCAUAUCGACGGGAUGGUUUGGCACCUCGAUGUCGGCUCGUCGCAUCCUGGGGCUGGAGUAGGUCCCAAGGGUUGGGCUGUUCGCCCAUUAAAGCGGUACGCGAGCUGGGUUUAGAACGUCGCGAGACAGUUCGGUCCCUAUCCGCUGCGCGCGCAGGAGACUUGAAGGGGGCUGUCCCUAGUACGAGAGGACCGGGACGGACGAACCUCUGGUGUGCCAGUUGUACCGCCAGGUGCACGGCUGGUUGGCUACGUUCGGAAGGGAUAACCGCUGAAAGCAUCUAAGCGGGAAGCUCGCCUUGAGAUGAGGUCUCCCACCCCGUGAGGGGGUAAGGCUCCCGGUAGAUCACCGGGUUGAUAGGCCGGAGGUGGAAGCACGGUAACGUGUGGAGCUGACCGGUACUAAUAGGCCGAGGACUUGAUC